GCUGUUUGAAAAUCACCCGUGGCCUUGCCCGUGCCCAUGGGCGGGAUUCGGCGCCCAGAGCCAGUGGGGCUUCAGCUCACUGCCCACUGUCCGGUGUGGGGAGGUGAAACCCAGGCCCCGACAGCA
This is a small nucleolar RNA of Sorex fumeus (smoky shrew), 126 nucleotides long. RefSeq annotates it as small nucleolar RNA ACA64. The transcript has a single exon. The record is from RefSeq and is a predicted model, not a curated record. NCBI's taxonomy places the organism in Eukaryota, Metazoa, Chordata, Mammalia, Eulipotyphla, Soricidae.